RNAcentral lists this ribosomal RNA (507 nucleotides) under uncultured bacterium. Its description in RNAcentral is "bacterial SSU rRNA". It matches the Rfam family "Bacterial small subunit ribosomal RNA", at positions 1 to 507 of the family's 1533-position model. The record is from RNAcentral.
ACAGACGAGUUUGAUCCUGGCUCAGAUUGAACGCUGGCGGCAUGCUUUACACAUGCAAGUCGAACGGUAGACCCUUUCGGGGGUUGAGAGUGGCGAACGGGUGAGUAAUGCAUCGGAACGUGCCCAGUCGUGGGGGAUAACGCAGCGAAAGUUGUGCUAAUACCGCAUACGACCUGAGGGUGAAAGCGGGGGACCGGUAACGGCCUCGCGCGAUUGGAGCGGCCGAUGUCUGAUUAGCUAGUUGGUGGGGUAAAGGCUCACCAAGGCGACGAUCAGUAGCGGGUCUGAGAGGAUGAUCCGCCACACUGGGACUGAGACACGGCCCAGACUCCUACGGGAGGCAGCAGUGGGGAAUUUUGGACAAUGGGGGAAACCCUGAUCCAGCCAUGCCGCGUGCGGGAAGAAGGCCUUCGGGUUGUAAACCGCUUUCGGACAGAAAGAAAUCGCAUGGAUUAAUACUCUGUGUGGAUGACGGUACUGUAAGAAGAAGCACCGGCUAACUACGUG